GACGAACGCUGGCGGCGUGCUUAACACAUGCAAGUCGAACGGAAAGGCCCUGCUUUUGUGGGGUGCUCGAGUGGCGAACGGGUGAGUAACACGUGAGUAACCUGCCCUUGACUUUGGGAUAACUUCAGGAAACUGGGGCUAAUACCGGAUAGGAGCUCCUGCUGCAUGGUGGGGGUUGGAAAGUUUCGGCGGUUGGGGAUGGACUCGCGGCUUAUCAGCUUGUUGGUGGGGUAGUGGCUUACCAAGGCUUUGACGGGUAGCCGGCCUGAGAGGGUGACCGGCCACACGGGAACGGCGAGACGGUCCAGGCGCCUACGCGGGGCAGCGGCAGGGAACCUGGCGCCACGGGCGAAAGCGUGGCGGGGCAGCGCCGCGCGAGUGAGGAAGGCCCUCGGGGCGUGAAACGUUGGUAGUGGUGAAGAACAAAGGUGUAAGGACCGAUGCCCGUCUUGACGGGACCUAAUCAGAAAGCCACGGCUAACUACGUG
RNAcentral lists this ribosomal RNA (488 nucleotides) under uncultured bacterium. RNAcentral's name for it is "partial 16S ribosomal RNA". It matches the Rfam family "Bacterial small subunit ribosomal RNA", at positions 28 to 507 of the family's 1533-position model. The record is from RNAcentral.